UCUUAUAUAUUCCUCGAAAAGAAACGAGCGCCCUUGAGCAGUUGUGCCCCCAAAUUCCCCAAACCGGCUCUCCACCUUCCUUGCCGAAAUUGUUGGUCGCCGGCCUCGAAGAUCCGAGCGGCUCCCGGCCUCCUUCCCUCACCCCAAGUAUCUCCUAUCCCCCAUGCCCGAAGCACGAAGCAGUCCGUGGCCUACUAGGGUGUCGCCCCUGCUGCAGGCUGUGGUGUUGUGCCGCCGCUAGCAGCAGCUGGCCGUGCCGUCUCCAAGGCACAGUCGGCCGCGCCGCCCCCAGCAGCCGUCGGACGCGCCGCCCCAGCCUUCGCAGUGUUAUUAAGGACUCCAUGAGAAUGGGAGUAGUUAAGGACAUCUUCAACAAGCCAUUACUAAGGCUGUUACUUAGACAGCAGAGAAUAACAAAACUCAAAGGUAGUAACAACCUCUCCAACAAGUGGUUUCUUCACAUUGUUACUAAGACUCAAAAGAUAUCAAUUGUUUAUUAUGGUUGGUCCCACUAAAACAUGAUGCUAAGUGACAACUCAUUCUCCAAUAGUGAUUUAGUGGUUACUUAGACAUUGGUUUCCGUGUGGUACCAGUUUCUCUAGAGAGAAACCAUCUCCUUCUCUUUGCUCUUCUUUUUUCAUCCACAUCAUCAAAAAGCUACCAUGUCAUGUUUUAGUAACGACUGACUCACCUUGUUGGAGAUGCCCUAAGUACCUUGCUUGUUGUCAGUUUGUUACCCUUUAGGCCUUUACCAACAGCCCUGUAAUCUCUUUCUUGUUCUUUGUUCGGUCCACUUUCCACCUGUAUGCAUGUGCCCACGUAUUGCCCUCUUUGUGACUGAUUAUCUUGUGGUGGUUGAUUACAGCUGGGAGAUGUGCUAUUCACGGUUCAGGUUUGCAGUGAAGGGAUUUAUAACUUUAUAUGAAUAGCUAUGAAGUAUUUUUUACUCCUUGCCUUUGAGCUUCUCAUGGAGUAACAAUAUUCCUGAGUUGCUACACUGUCAGAACCUGGCUUGGCCCAUUGCAGGUUCUCUCACCUAACUAAUGUUUAUGCCAUUAACUUGCAAUUCUUUUGGGUAAUCAAAUGCAGUGAGUUGUCUGUUUGUAUAACUAGCAACUGAUCUUUAAUCAAUGAUCUGAUCAUGCCAAUUUGCUGGGACUCCCUCCCAGCUACAUACAGGGUAGUGGGUUAACUCCUUACAAUCCGGCAAUCAUUUUCUUUUAUUCGUUCAUGUUUGCUCGAUGUGUAGAAGCAGCAGAUUGCUGGAAGUGAUUUAAUCUUCCCAAACAUAAUUAGAUUGUUAGAUCAUGCAUCUUCUCUGUUAGUUAUGCUUGAUUAAUGAUUAAUUACCUGAUCAUGCAUCUCCCCAAAACUAAUUAGUUAUUAUUUUCUGGGCACAAGAGUAUGCUGAAGUUGUUCGAAGUGUGCCAAAAAGAUCAUUGUAUGAUUUAGAAUUAUUCUCUUAAAAAUCAGAAAUCAUGUGGGCAAUAACAAAAGUAUAGCAGGCCUUUGUUUGCUAUGCUGGCCUGUUUAAUUUGAGUUUCAUCCACUUUGUGUUCGGUAUAUUGGAUACUAACUUUGCUGGUAAAUUUAGGCCUGAUUAGAUUAUAAAUUGAGCUGAUUGCAGCUUGCUAUUUGUGAAGAUCAGCCAUAAAUGUACAUGACCAUCAUCAUUCAGAGAACUAUAGCUUUUUAAUGUAGUAGUUACAUUAAAAAGUUCGAAAUACAUUGCCUCCAGGUACUAGCACUACAAGCAGGCUUCCAACCUCACUGUCUGUUCUGCAGUUUUUUUUUUAAUGGCAGAUUAGCCGGUUAAUGGGUUUGAUUGUUCAUAGCUUAUCCUUAUGAUCUGCUUUCAUCCAUAACAUUAUUUAUAGUUAUAUAUACAUGUACAAGGCGCAGGAUGGUAGAGUGGAGCCAUCUCCUGCUGGUCGAUCUUCAGACUUUGAGACUGAACCAGCUGAGCAAGGGGUAUGUGUCUCAAAUAUUACUGUUUCCUUUAUAAUAUUUCUGGUUCAGCUAUAGUUAAAUCCAACAUUAUCUGGUACAUCCAUAAAUCCCACUAAUUCAGAUUAUUCAACGUAUAUCACUAUUAAAACUGUGCACUGGAGCUGCAUCUUAGAAUACUGUAUCAAAUACUUUACUUACCAAACUUAAGCUUUAAACUGUACAAAUAUCAAAUCAGGGGGUCCUUUCUAACUUAGGAAAAUUAAGUGUAGUAACAAGAUUGAUAGAUUUUUUCAAUUAUCUGGACAUAUACUAAUGAUGGCAUCCUUUACCUUUUCCUGAAUGCUUCAGAAUGCUAUAUCAAAUAAUAUUUCAAGUAGGUAGGAUUUCCGUUGCUGCAGAUGUGCCUGAGUUGGAGGCGUAAUUUGUAAGGGUUGUGGUGUGCCUGCUUUGUGUUAAGCAAUAUGGUUAUUAUCUAGGAUGGUAUGCAACCUUCGAUGAUCCCAAAGAUGAUUUGUCAUCUGAAAUAAGUUACUUUUUCUUCUGUAAUCACCAUUGGGUGAGCAUUGUUGCGGCGACAGGGCUGGUGUAUGUUCUUGUCGAUAAUAGUAUCGGAUGUAAUUGUAUGCAUGUGUAAAAAAAUGGAUAUUGAUAGUACCAAUAUAUUAACUGUACAUCCACACCAGUUCUGUCUCAAUAGCCCAAAGGGUACUGCUCUA
Brachypodium distachyon (stiff brome) is the source of this 2666-nucleotide long non-coding RNA. RefSeq lists it as uncharacterized. The record is from RefSeq and is a predicted model, not a curated record. NCBI's taxonomy places the organism in Eukaryota, Viridiplantae, Streptophyta, Magnoliopsida, Poales, Poaceae. The transcript has 2 exons.